This 301-nucleotide ribosomal RNA is filed under the name uncultured bacterium. Its description in RNAcentral is "partial 16S ribosomal RNA". It matches the Rfam family "Bacterial small subunit ribosomal RNA", at positions 509 to 807 of the family's 1533-position model. The record is from RNAcentral.
CAGCCGCCGCGGGAACACGGAGGAUCCAAGCGUUAUCCGGAAUCAUUGGGUUUAAAGGGUCCGUAGGCGGUCUUGUAAGUCAGUGGUGAAAGCCCAUCGCUCAACGGUGGAACGGCCAUUGAUACUGCAGGACUUGAAUUAUUGGGAAGUAACUAGAAUAUGUAGUGUAGCGGUGAAAUGCUUAGAGAUUACAUGGAAUACCAAUUGCGAAGGCAGGUUACUACCAAUUGAUUGACGCUGAUGGACGAAAGCGUGGGUAGCGAACAGGAUUAGAUACCCGGGUAGUCCCUGUCUCUUAUAC